Molecule: non-coding RNA, 84 nt
Organism: Felis catus (domestic cat)
Lineage: Eukaryota; Metazoa; Chordata; Mammalia; Carnivora; Felidae
Source: Rfam
GCCUGGGUGGCUCAGUCGGUUGAGCGUCCGACUUCAGCUCAGGUCAUGAUCUCACGUUCGUGAGUUUGAGCCCCGCAUCAGGCU